UACGUAGGUGGCAAGCGUUGUCCGGAAUUAUUGGGCGUAAAGCGCGCGCAGGCGGUCCUUUAAGUCUGAUGUGAAAGCCUCGACGCUACACGUGGAGGGUCAUUGGAAACUGGGGGGACUUGAGUACAGAAGAGGAAAGCGGAAUUCCACGUGUAGCGGUGAAAUGCGUAGAGAUGUGGAGGAACACCAGUGGCGAAGGCGGCUUUCUGGUCUGUAACUGACGCUGAGGCGCGAAAGCGUGGGGAGCAAACAGG
This 254-nucleotide ribosomal RNA is filed under the name uncultured bacterium. RNAcentral's name for it is "partial 16S ribosomal RNA". It matches the Rfam family "Bacterial small subunit ribosomal RNA", at positions 524 to 776 of the family's 1533-position model. The record is from RNAcentral.